GACGAACGCUGGCGGCGUGCUUAACACAUGCAAGUCGAACGGAAAGGCCCUGCUUUUGUGGGGUGCUCGAGUGGCGAACGGGUGAGUAACACGUGAGUAACCUGCCCUUGACUUUGGGAUAACUUCAGGAAACUGGGGCUAAUACCGGAUAGGAGCUCCUGCUGCAUGGUGGGGGUUGGAAAGUUUCGGCGGUUGGGGAUGGACUCGCGGCUUAUCAGCUUGUUGGUGGGGUAGUGGCUUACCAAGGCUUUGACGGGUAGCCGGCCUGAGAGGGUGACCGGCCACAUUGGGACUGAGAUACGGCCCAGACGCCUACGGGAGGCAGCAGUGGGGAAUAUUGCACAAUGGGCGGAAGCCGGAUGCAGCAACGCCGCGUGCGGGAUGACGGCCUUCGGGUUGUAAACCGCUUUCGCCUGUGACGACGCGUGAGUGACGGUAAUGGGUAAAGAAGCACCGGCUAACUACGU
Molecule: ribosomal RNA, 467 nt
Filed under: uncultured bacterium
Lineage: Bacteria
Description: partial 16S ribosomal RNA
Rfam family: Bacterial small subunit ribosomal RNA
Source: RNAcentral